GACGAACGCUGGCGGCGUGCCUAAUACAUGCAAGUCGAACGCACAGUUUAUACCGUAGCUUGCUACACCAUAGACUGUGAGUUGCGAACGGGUGAGUAACGCGUAGGUAACCUGCCUGGUAGCGGGGGAUAACUAUUGGAAACGAUAGCUAAUACCGCAUAAUAUUGAUUAUUGCAUGAUAAUUGAUUGAAAGAUGCUAUUGCAUCACUACCAGAUGGACCUGCGUUGUAUUAGCUAGUAGGGGAGGUAACGGCUCACCUAGGCGACGAUACAUAGCCGACCUGAGAGGGUGAUCGGCCACACUGGGACUGAGACACGGCCCAGACUCCUACGGGAGGCAGCAGUAGGGAAUCUUCGGCAAUGGACGAAAGUCUGACCGAGCAACGCCGCGUGAGUGAAGAAGGGUUUCGGAUCGUAAAGCUCUGUUGUAAGAGAAGAACGGGUGUGAGAGUGGAAAGUUCACACUGUGACGGUAUCUUACCAGAAAGAGACGGCUAACUACGUG
RNAcentral lists this ribosomal RNA (505 nucleotides) under uncultured bacterium. Its description in RNAcentral is "partial 16S ribosomal RNA". It matches the Rfam family "Bacterial small subunit ribosomal RNA", at positions 28 to 507 of the family's 1533-position model. The record is from RNAcentral.